Molecule: ribosomal RNA, 422 nt
Filed under: uncultured prokaryote
Description: bacterial SSU rRNA
Rfam family: Bacterial small subunit ribosomal RNA
Source: RNAcentral
UAAGGAAUAUUGGGCAAUGGUCGGAAGACUGACCCAGCCAUGCCGCGUGCAGGAAGACGGCCCUAUGGGUUGUAAACUGCUUUUGUCGGGGAAUAAACCUGCCCACGUGUGGGCAGCUGAAGGUACCCGGCGAAUAAGCAUCGGCUAACUCCGUGCCAGCAGCCGCGGUAAUACGGAGGAUGCAAGCGUUAUCCGGAUUCACUGGGUUUAAAGGGUGCGCAGGCGGGAUGAUAAGUCAGAGGUGAAAUCCUACGGCUCAACUGUAGAACUGCCUUUGAUACUGUCGUUCUUGAGUAAGGUUGGAGUGGGCGGAAUGUGUUGUGUAGCGGUGAAAUGCUUAGAUAUAACACAGAACACCGAUCGCGAAGGCAGCUCACUAAGCGUUAACUGACGCUCAUGCACGAAAGCGUGGGGAUCAAACA